GUGGGGAAUAUUGCGCAAUGGGCGAAAGCCUGACGCAGCAACGCCGUGUGAGGGAUGAAGGCUUUCGGGUCGUAAACCUCUGUCGGAAGGGAAGAACGGGUGGUGGUCUAAUAGGCCUCCAUUUUGACGGUACCUUUAGAGGAAGCACCGGCUAACUCCGUGCCAGCAGCCGCGGUAAUACGGAGGGUGCAAGCGUUAUUCGGAAUUACUGGGCGUAAAGCGCACGUAGGCGGCCUUGUAAGUCAGGGGUGAAAUCCCACGGCUCAACCGUGGAACUGCCUUUGAAACUGCAGGGCUUGAAUCCUGGAGAGGGUGGCGGAAUUCCUGGUGUAGGAGUGAAAUCCGUAGAUAUCAGGAGGAACACCGGUGGCGAAGGCGGCCACCUGGACAGGUAUUGACGCUGAGGUGCGAAAGUGUGGGGAGCAAACAGGAUUAGAAACCCUGGUAGUCC
This 451-nucleotide ribosomal RNA is filed under the name uncultured bacterium. RNAcentral describes it as "bacterial SSU rRNA". It matches the Rfam family "Bacterial small subunit ribosomal RNA", at positions 354 to 796 of the family's 1533-position model. The record is from RNAcentral.